Molecule: ribosomal RNA, 440 nt
Filed under: uncultured bacterium
Lineage: Bacteria
Description: partial 16S ribosomal RNA
Rfam family: Bacterial small subunit ribosomal RNA
Source: RNAcentral
CCUACGGGGGGCAGCAGUGGGGAAUAUUGCACAAUGGGGGAAACCCUGAUGCAGCGACGCCGCGUGAGUGAAGAAGUACUUCGUUAUGUAAAGCUCUAUCAGCCGGGGAGAAAGUGACGGUACCUGAGUCAGAAGCCCCGGCUAACUACGUGCCAGCAGCCGCGGUAAUCCGUAGGGGGCAAGCGUUAUACGGAUUUACUGGGGGUAAAGGGGGCGUAGAUGGCAGUGCAAGUCUGGUGUGAAAGGGGGGGGCUCAACCCCCGGACUGCUCUGGAAACUGUACGGCUGGAGUGCAGGAGAGGUAAGUGGAAUGCGUAGUGUAGCGGUGAAAUGCGUAGAUAUUAGGAGGAACACCAGUGGCGAAGGCGGCUUACUGGACUGUAACUGACGUUGAGGCUCGAAAGCGCGGGGAGCAAACAGGAUUAGAUACCCGUGUAGUC